GAUGAACGCUGGCGGCGUGCCUAAUACAUGCAAGUCGAGCGAACAGACGAGGAGCUUGCUCCUCUGAUGUUAGCGGCGGACGGGUGAGUAACACGUGGAUAACCUACCUAUAAGACUGGGAUAACUUCGGGAAACCGGAGCUAAUACCGGAUAACAUGUUGAACCGCAUGGUUUAACAGUGAAAGACGGUCUUGCUGUCACUUAUAGAUGGAUCCGCGCCGCAUUAGCUAGUUGGUAAGGUAACGGCUUACCAAGGCAACGAUGCGUAGCCGACCUGAGAGGGUGAUCGGCCACACUGGAACUGAGACACGGUCCAGACUCCUACGGGAGGCAGCAGUAGGGAAUCUUCCGCAAUGGGCGAAAGCCUGACGGAGCAACGCCGCGUGAGUGAAGAAGGUCUUCGGAUCGUAAAACUCUGUUAUUAGGGAAGAACAAAUGUGUAAGUAACUAUGCACGUCUUGACGGUACCUAAUCAGAAAGCCACGGCUAACUACGUG
This 497-nucleotide ribosomal RNA is filed under the name uncultured bacterium. RNAcentral describes it as "partial 16S ribosomal RNA". It matches the Rfam family "Bacterial small subunit ribosomal RNA", at positions 28 to 507 of the family's 1533-position model. The record is from RNAcentral.